AUGGGGCUGCCCCAUAAGUUACUGGCCCCCCAUUAUCUAUGGGGCUGCCCCAUAAGUUAUAACCCCCCCCACAUAUCUAUGGGGCUGCCCCACAAGUACCUGACCCCUUUAUCUAUGGGGCAGCCCCACAAGCUCCCGCCCCACAGCGUCACUUACCUGCCUCCUCCCAGUAUCUAUGGGGCAGCCCCCCAAGUUCCCUCUGCCCCACACAUCUAUGGGGCAGCCCCCCCCAAGUUCCCUCUGCCCCACAUAUCUGUGGGGCAGCCCCACACACUGACCCUCCUGCCCCACAUAUCUAUGGGGCAGCCCCACACACUGACCCUCCUGCCCCACACAUCUAUGGGGCAGCCCCACACACUGACCCUCCUGCCCCACAUCUAUGGGUCAGCCCCACACAUCUAUGGGGCAGCCCCACACAUCUAUGGGGCAGCCCCACAUAUCUAUGGUCAGCCCCACACAUGCUAUGGGCAAGCCCCACACACUGACCCUCCUGCCCACAUAUCGGGCCAGCCCCACACAAGCUGACCCUCCUGCCACCAUUAUCUAUGGGUCAGCCCCACACAUCUAUGGGUCAGCCCACACACUGACCCCCGCCCCACAUCAGGGCAGCCGCCACACACUACCCUCGCCGCCCCCUACCAUAUCUAUGGGCAAGCCCCACACACUACCCUCCUGCCCCACAUCUAUGGGUCUGCCCCACACAUCUAUGGGCAGAGCCCCACACACGUGACCCUCCUGCCCCCACAUAUCUAGGGGCAGCCCCCACACCUGACCCUC
This 777-nucleotide long non-coding RNA is filed under the name Coturnix japonica (Japanese quail). RNAcentral's name for it is "lncRNA (ENSCJPG00005002799.1)". Lineage: Eukaryota; Metazoa; Chordata; Aves; Galliformes; Phasianidae. The record is from RNAcentral.